GUGGAUAUAGCUCAGUGGUAGAGCGCAUGCUUAGCAUGCAUGAGGUCCUGGGUUCAAUCCCCAGUACCUCCA
This 72-nucleotide transfer RNA is filed under the name Camelus bactrianus (Bactrian camel). It matches the Rfam family "tRNA". Rfam says of the family: Transfer RNA (tRNA) molecules are approximately 80 nucleotides in length. Their secondary structure includes four short double-helical elements and three loops (D, anti-codon, and T loops). RNAcentral also lists the same sequence under 2 other names. The record is from Rfam by way of RNAcentral. Lineage: Eukaryota; Metazoa; Chordata; Mammalia; Artiodactyla; Camelidae.